Molecule: small RNA, 545 nt
Filed under: Pongo abelii (Sumatran orangutan)
Lineage: Eukaryota; Metazoa; Chordata; Mammalia; Primates; Hominidae
Description: processed transcript
Source: RNAcentral
ACUCACGCUGCCGGCUCCGGAGGCGGCACGCGGCCAGCGCUGCUCCGCUCCGGGGCUUUUUCCCCCGGAGUCGGGGCCGGGCGCGCGGGAACCGGUUACCGAGCGGACCUGGACGCCCUCUGCCUUCGUCAUUUCCUGCCGGCCGGUCGGUUUCCGGAUGAAACGAGGAGCCAGGUAGUAAGCCUGGAGAAAAAUUGAGGCCCCGGCUGAAAGCAUAAAUAGAUUCAUGGAGGAGACAUCACAGCUUUCCCAGAUCGGGAGGAAAAAUAUGGAAUGUGUUUUACCGCUGACUGAACACAACCAAAUGAACUGUCCUGACAGUAGUUUGCAAACCAGCAGCUAGCAGUUUGUCCAGCCUCUAACAUUGUCCAGCACUUUCCAGAGCAAACUCACUGUUUACAAGAACUCUUGGCCUUACGAAGUUUAUAACCUCAAGCUUUGUUUAUUUAAAAUAUUCCUGCAAAAGAAAAGUAACCGGCACCCACUUUCCAAAAUGGCCAUGGAUGAGUAUUUGUGGAUGGUCAUUUUGGGUUUCAUCAUAGCUU